This 74-nucleotide transfer RNA is filed under the name Otolemur garnettii (small-eared galago). It matches the Rfam family "tRNA". From Rfam's summary of the family: Transfer RNA (tRNA) molecules are approximately 80 nucleotides in length. Their secondary structure includes four short double-helical elements and three loops (D, anti-codon, and T loops). Lineage: Eukaryota; Metazoa; Chordata; Mammalia; Primates; Galagidae. The record is from Rfam by way of RNAcentral.
GCGCGUGUAGCUCAGUGGGGUAGAGCGCUGGCCCCAUAUGCCAGAGGUGGCGGGUUCAAACCCAGCCCUGGCCA